Gorilla gorilla gorilla (western lowland gorilla) is the source of this 867-nucleotide long non-coding RNA. RefSeq lists it as uncharacterized. The record is from RefSeq and is a predicted model, not a curated record. The transcript has 2 exons. NCBI's taxonomy places the organism in Eukaryota, Metazoa, Chordata, Mammalia, Primates, Hominidae.
UGAGAAGUAGGGAGAACCUUCCUUCUCCGCCCCUGGACGGUGGUUUUUCUUUUUCUUUCUGAGACAGGGUCUCGCUCUGUCGCCCAGGCUGGAGUGCAGUGGCGUGAUUUCGGCUCACUGCGGCCCCGACCAACCUCUCGGGCUCGAGCGAUCCUCCCACCUCCUCCCCAGUAGCUGGGAUUACAGGCACACGCCACGACGCCCGGGUAGCAUUUUUUUUUUUAACAGUCGGCGUCUUGCCAUGUUGCCCAGGCUGGUCUUGAACUCCUGGCCUCGAGAGAGCCUCCCGCCGUGGCCCCCCCAAAGUGCUGGGAUUACAGGCGUGAGCCACCGCGCCCAGCCGAGAUUAUUUCUGUCACUAACAAUAAUGUGGCAUUCUGGAACGCUUUCUAUGUGCCACAUACUGUUCUAAGAAUUUUAAAUGUAUUUACUCAAUCUUCAAUACAUACUUACAGAGCACUCUCAGAGAAGUUGCCUCCCCCCCCAUGUCUGGUUAUUGUCUGUCUGUACACCCAUCUCUCCACUCCGAAUGCGAUGGUCGUCUCCACAGCUCGUGUUCUUCAGUUGUCUUCCCUACGCUGCUGCCUCGGCAGUCACCAUCUCCUCAGGAAGCAGUCCCACCCGCCCCUUUCUCUUCCACGGCAUCCACACCAUCCGGAUGCCUGGAUUCAAAUGCCACGUCACCACUUGCCAGCUGCAGCGCCUUCGACAAGUUUCUCAAUCACUCUGUGCCUCAGCGUCCUCUGUAAAACGGCGAAUGAUGGUAGUGCCUACCUCAUAAGCUUGUGAGGAUUAAGUGAGAGGCUAUCCAGUGUUUAGGAGAGUGUCUGGCAUAAAUAAAGCGCCUAGUGUUAGCUACCAUCGUCA